AUUUUGAGCGUGUAGUCCUACCAUGUGAGUGAAAAACAUACCAAAGAAUGAGUGUAUAGAAAUAAGAGUGUAGCCGUCAAACGCGCACGUGGAGAAAACAACAUAAACAAAGAGCAACGAUCAACAACAAUCAUCAACAAGCAACCAGAACAAGAACACGGUUAAGCGGUUAGAUUCGUCAUCGCGGUGAAUAAAAAGUGCCUGCUAUCAUUGGUGUACCGGAACCGAAGCCGAUCAAGGACGAUAUCCCGGAUUUGUUCAGUGAAAAGCUCCCAGACAACUGAUUGUGGGUAACACGUAGCAGCAUCGACCGAGCCAGCACUGACAAGAUUCAACCUCUGCUGAAGCAACGGUUGAUGUUACCCAACAAACAUUUUUUGCUGAACAACCGCUGAAACAUUGUUUAGUUCUAAUUUUAAAUCAGCUAUCUUGCUGAAAGAAGGCAACCCAAAUUCAGAGAGAAGCUGCUGUUCAGCCCUUAAACAUCGAGAUCUGGAGAAAUUAAUCAGCGAAGAUGACAUGAAACCACAUGAAACGUCAAUUGACGGAGCAACAAAAAAAAACAAAAAUAAUGUUGACCGAUGUAUGUCCGAUGUUUGCCAGCUAAUUUUCCCCUCCCGUGUUAUUUUUUCUUCAUUUGAACUUGUCUCGAACUUUGAACCUACGACUUGUUGGUCUCAUGCCGCAGAAGGCAGAACCAACCAUGCAUUCUGCGAAGGAACAGAAAAGUGUCGCUCUUAAGCGACCAAAAUAUUUCUCAACCAAGGUCAAUUUCAUAUGAAGAAAUUGAAAUUGCUACGAGAAUAAAAUGUUAAUUUCCCGGCAAGGCCAUUUCAACAUGCAAAAUGAGAAAUUUCGAAUCAUUAGACGAUUCACAAGAUAAUUAUUUUGAUUCGUCAUGAAUAACAAAAAGUUUGGUAUUGCUGAAAGACGCUUUCGAAGCUACCCUUGUACAGCUGACGGCUGUCAAAUUUGAAGGUGUCAAAAAUGGUUGGACAAAGGCUGAACGAGUUAUUCUUCAGCCAAUUUUCCCCUACUUUCUAUUGGCUGAAAUAAAACUUCCUUAUACGCUGAAACAACGCUGAAAUAUUUCUUUCUUCAGCCAGAAAGCUGAAACAGCAAUCAACACCUCAAAACAGCAUACGAUCAGAGAAUUGGCGUUUUUAAUCAGCAAAAAUGUUUGUUGGGUAGCGUUGUGCUGAGAGAAGGAAGUAGAGCUCGAAAGAAUAUUUUAAGCAGCGCGAACCAGGUAGUAGGAACACAUACGGAACUGCUGCCCUGGUAUUCACCCAUCCGACGUUGGGAAUUGGAGGUGCAGGAAGAAAGCGACCCCUAGCGGGUCGUUUUUUCGGAGCUGAGCCAAACGCUUUUCGGGACUCGAUUUUCGCCAUCUUGGUUUUGCGAGUCCCGUUUUUGCGAAAUCAAGCUGCGGACGUUGCAAGAGCCAGCCGGAAGUAGACGGAAGUGCUCCGGGCAGCUGUGGUACGCCCGUCGAAGCAGUGCAGCCAGGCAGGGUUGCCAGUUCUACAGAUACGACUGUGAUAAUAAGAAAGGAAGCUGUGAUACCCCUGUGCCGUCCAAGCAGCUGUGAUAUGAUUGUUGUUAUUGUUUUGAUGUUAUGGUAGGAACGGGCCCGUGAGUAAUAAUGUAAGCUAGCUUAAGUUUUUAAAAUGUCGUAAUAGUAAAUAAUUGUAAUUGCUACCGAUUUGGGUUUUGAGUGUUUGUGUUUUGGGUAAUAGUUAGCCGUGCAGCACACACUGAGAGUCAGUGGUGCUCAAACUGUUUCAAUUUUACCAUUUUGAAUUCACCUAACAAAAUAAGUACACGGAAAAUAAUAAAAAGGUAAAAUUUACCGAGUUAGCAAAGGUGAAGAACGCUCGUGAAAGCCAAAAAGGUAACUUCUACCUCUUCGAGGUGAAACUCACCUCACAGCGAGGUAAACUUUACCUGAAUCGAGGUUGGAAAAAAGGUACAAUUCACCGAGAAAAAAGGUGAAUCCAAAAAAGGUAAAUCUUACCUCGUAGCGAGGUGAAGUUCACCUGAAUUGAGCUCAAUAAAAAAGUAUAAUUCACC
This is a long non-coding RNA of Uranotaenia lowii, 2073 nucleotides long. RefSeq lists it as uncharacterized. Lineage: Eukaryota; Metazoa; Arthropoda; Insecta; Diptera; Culicidae. The transcript is spliced from 5 exons. The record is from RefSeq and is a predicted model, not a curated record.